RNAcentral lists this ribosomal RNA (253 nucleotides) under uncultured bacterium. Its description in RNAcentral is "partial 16S ribosomal RNA". It matches the Rfam family "Bacterial small subunit ribosomal RNA", at positions 524 to 776 of the family's 1533-position model. The record is from RNAcentral.
UACGUAGGUGGCAAGCGUUGUCCGGAUUUACUGGGCGUAAAGGGCGCGUAGGCGGGAUGGCAAGUCGGUCGUGAAAUCCUUCGGCUCAACCGAAGAACGUCGGCCGAUACUGCCGUUCUUGAGGGAUGCAGAGGAGAUUGGAAUUCCCGGUGUAGCGGUGAAAUGUGUAGAGAUCGGGAGGAACACCGGUGGCGAAGGCGGGUCUCUGGGCAUCUCCUGACGCUGAGGCGCGAAAGCGUGGGGAGCAAACGGG